AGGCAGAAGGAAGGCAGUUAGGCUGUUAGGAAGGCAGUUAGGCUGCAGUGAAUUCUACAAAGAGGCUAUGGGAAAGAAACCUGGAAAGUACCCUUGGCUGUGUACAUUUGAGUAAAGAGAGCACUAUAAAAUCAAAAACCAAUGAAAUGGUUUCCAGAACACAGAACUAUUAAGCUUAAGAAAAGGACAGAAGGAACUGAAGAGAGAGGAACUGUUUUGGAGCAUCACACUUCCACCUCAGAAGAAAUAAGGAAGGAAGGAGGAGGGUGUUCCCACGGCUCUUCAACCAGGCCGGCUCUUCAGCCUACAUCCCCAUCUCAUCAAGUAAAAGGGAUUUUUCAACUGGACCAACCAGAUGGUUUAACAGUGCACUCCCACACCAUUCAACUACGCAAGGGAGAUACACUUAACAUAUGCAGUCGUAUAACACCUACUAACAUUUUCAAACAUUAAACCUUUAAAAAAGAGUUCUAAAGAAAUAGAAGCUUGAAGUAUCAUCUCUCAAGUAUAUAGACACUACUUCAUGGUGUGGUAAUAUAUGCAUAUAGAAGCUAGUAAACACCUCCAGGAGAUGCAAAAGGAAUUAGAACUGCCACAAGGUGCAAGCAAAACCUUGAGGUGAGAAAAUCGAAUUUGGACACCGUUGAGGAGACUAUUGCAGUCAUCCAAGCUCAAGAUGGUGGAGCUUCAUCCUUGAGAAUAACCAAUGGGGAUAGAUUUAAGAGACACUUAGAGUCUGCAGCCAACAGGGCUGAAUGAGCAGAGAGUUAUGAUUCAGAAGAUCAUCUAAAAUUGAACAGCUGCCACUACUGGCAAUAAGUCUACUGCCAUUUGGUAGAUAACCUUCUUAUCACACAGAAAAAUAUCAGUACAGACAAAUAGACCGCAAAGAAAAUGAGACCAUCAGCAAAGAAGAUAAAGAAGUUUGUACAAAGCAACUUUUUAUAAAUGGAUGGCUGUCAGGCAAAAAUAAAUUUCCUGUGGACAAGACCAAGAGCAAGGCAAGAGGAAAAUAAACAUGUUUAAACUA
This 1030-nucleotide long non-coding RNA is filed under the name Homo sapiens (human). RNAcentral describes it as "non-protein coding LINC00343:8". The record is from RNAcentral. Lineage: Eukaryota; Metazoa; Chordata; Mammalia; Primates; Hominidae.